CAGUCGCCGCGGGAACACAGAGGGUGCGAGCGUUAAUCGGAUUUACUGGGCGUAAAGCGUGCGUAGGCGGCUUUUUAAGUCGGAUGUGAAAUCCCUGAGCUUAACUUAGGAAUUGCAUUCGAUACUGGGAAGCUAGAGUAUGGGAGAGGAUGGUAGAAUUCCAGGUGUAGCGGUGAAAUGCGUAGAGAUCUGGAGGAAUACCGAUGGCGAAGGCAGCCAUCUGGCCUAAUACUGACGCUGAGGUACGAAAGCAUGGGGAGCAAACAGGAUUAGAUACCCCUGUAGUCCCUGUCUCUUAUAC
Molecule: ribosomal RNA, 301 nt
Filed under: uncultured bacterium
Lineage: Bacteria
Description: partial 16S ribosomal RNA
Rfam family: Bacterial small subunit ribosomal RNA
Source: RNAcentral